Molecule: long non-coding RNA, 292 nt
Organism: Etheostoma spectabile (orangethroat darter)
Lineage: Eukaryota; Metazoa; Chordata; Actinopteri; Perciformes; Percidae
Exons: 3
Source: RefSeq, a predicted model, not a curated record
GAGAACGGUUUUAGAACAUUGCUGUGCGUGUAAUUUCAAUAAAUAUGACGUUAUUAUAUAGAUUAUUGGCAAAAGCAAAUGCCAUGAGGGCAAAAGUUUCCGGCCUUUUUUUGACGAAAUGUGUGCAUUUUGUCAACUGUAUUACAUUUAUAUCUUCACAGUGUGACACCCAAGACAUAUGAGAAAUGUUUUAGAGGAGAUUGGCUUAGCUUGUACUGCUCUGUCUGUGAUAUCAAUACACAUCCGUAAGAUACAUGUUUCAUUUAAUUUAUUUAUUUGUCUUUAAGGUCCU